RNAcentral lists this ribosomal RNA (628 nucleotides) under uncultured archaeon. RNAcentral's name for it is "bacterial SSU rRNA". It matches the Rfam family "Archaeal small subunit ribosomal RNA", at positions 666 to 1290 of the family's 1478-position model. The record is from RNAcentral.
GCGAAGGCGCCCGGCUGGAACGGGUCCGACGGUGAGGGACGAAGGCCAGGGGAGCNAACCGGAUUAGAUACCCGGGUAGUCCUGGCUGUAAACGAUGCGGGCUAGGUGUCACCAGAGCCACGAGCUCCGGUGGUGCCGGAGGGAAGCCGUUAAGCCCGCCCGCCUGGGAAGUACGGCCGCAAGGCUGAAACUUAAAGGAAUUGGCGGGGGAGCACUACAACGGGUGGAGCCUGCGGUUCAAUUGGAUUCAACGCCGGGAAGCUUACCGGGGGAGACAGCUGGAUGAAGGUCGGGCUGAAGACCCUACCAGACUAGCUGAGAGGUGGUGCAUGGCCGCCGUCAGUUCGUACUGUGAAGCAUCCUGUUAAGUCAGNCAACGAGCGAGACCCGCGCCCUCAGUUGCCAGCGGAUCCCUUCGGGGAUGCCGGGCACACUGAGGGGACUGCCGGCGCUAAGCCGGAGGAAGGUGCGGGCAACGGCAGGUCCGUAUGCCCCGAAUCCCCCGGGCUACACGCGGGCUACAAUGGCCGGGACAAUGGGUACCGACCCCGAAAGGGGUAGGUAAUCCCCUAAACCCGGUCUAACCUGGGAUCGAGGGCUGCAACUCGCCCUCGUGAACCUGGAAUCC